AGAUUCACAUGGAACAGGGGUCAAAGGAGCAAUCCGGUAAGGGGUGGGCUCGCGUCCGAUUAGAUAGUUGGUGAGGUAACGGCCCACCAAGUCGACGAUCGGUAGCCGACCUGAGAGGGUGAUCGGCCACAUUGGGACUGAGACACGGCCCAAACUCCUACGGGAGGCAGCAGUGGGGAAUAUUGGGCAAUGGGGGAAACCCUGACCCAGCAACGCCGCGUGAGGGAAGAAGGUUUUCGGAUCGUAAACCUCUGUCCUUGGUGAAGAGAAAGAGACGGUAGCCAAGGAGGAAGCCCCGGCUAACUACGUGCCAGCAGCCGCGGUAAUACGUAGGGGGCGAGCGUUGUCCGGAAUGAUUGGGCGUAAAGGGCGCGUAGGCGGCCCGGUAAGUCUGAAGUGAAAGUCCUGGUUUUAAGCUGGGAAUUGCUUUGGAUACUGUCGGGCUUGAGUGCAGGAGAGGUAAGUGGAAUUCCCAGUGUAGCGGUGAAAUGCGUAGAGAUUGGGAGGAACACCAGUGGGCGAARGCGACUUACUGGACUGUAACUGACGCUGAGGCGCGAAAGUGUGGGGAGCAAACAGGAUUAGAUACCCUGGUAGUCCACACUGUAAACGAUGAAUGCUAGGUGUAGGGGGUAUCGACCCCUUCUGUGCCGCAGUCAACACAAUAAGCAUUCCGCCUGGGGAGUACGGCCGCAAGGUUGAAACUCAAAGGAAUUGACGGGGGCCCGCACAAGCAGCGGAGCAUGUGGUUUAAUUCGACGCAACGCGAAGAACCUUACCAGGUCUUGACAUCCAGUAAAGCCCAUAGAGAUAUGGAGUGUGCUUGCACAUACUGAGACAGGUGGUGCAUGGUUGUCGUCAGCUCGUGUCGUGAGAUGUUGGGUUAAGUCCCGCAACGAGCGCAACCCUUAUUUUCAGUUACUAACAGGUAAAGCUGAGGACUCUGAAGAGACUGCCGGGGACAACUCGGAGGAAGGUGGGGACGACGUCAAAUCAUCAUGCCCCUUAUGACCUGGGCUACACACGUGCUACAAUGGCCACCACAGAGAGGAGCGAACCUGUAAGGGGGAGCGGAUCUCAAAAAAGUGGUCCCAGUUCGGAUUGUGGGCUGCAACCCGCCCACAUGAAGUCGGAGUUGCUAGUAAUCGCGGUUCAGCAUGCCGCG
Molecule: ribosomal RNA, 1165 nt
Filed under: uncultured bacterium
Lineage: Bacteria
Description: bacterial SSU rRNA
Rfam family: Bacterial small subunit ribosomal RNA
Source: RNAcentral